This 450-nucleotide ribosomal RNA is filed under the name uncultured bacterium. RNAcentral's name for it is "partial 16S ribosomal RNA". It matches the Rfam family "Bacterial small subunit ribosomal RNA", at positions 354 to 796 of the family's 1533-position model. The record is from RNAcentral.
GUGGGGAAUAUUCCGCAAUGGAUGAAAGUCUGACGGAGCAACGCCGCGUGAGUGAUGAAGGUUUUCGGACUGUAAAGCUCUGUUGUUUAGGACGAAAGUGCCUGUUGCAAAUAGUUACAGGUAUUGACGGUACUGAACGAGGAAGCCACGGCUAACUACGUGCCAGCAGCCGCGGUAAUACGUAGGUGGCAAGCGUUGUCCGGAAUUAUUGGGCGUAAAGAGCAUGUAGGCGGGAAUCUAAGUCUGUUGUGAAAAUGCGGGGCUCAACCCCGUAUUGCGAUGGAAACUGGGUUUCUUGAGUGCAGGAGAGGAAAGGGGAAUUCCCAGUGUAGCGGUGAAAUGCGUAGAUAUUGGGAGGAACACCAGUGGCGAAGGCGCCUUUCUGGACUGUGUCUGACGCUGAGAUGCGAAAGCCAGGGUAGCGAACGGGAUUAGAUACCCCUGUAGUCC